This 505-nucleotide ribosomal RNA is filed under the name uncultured Kingella sp. Its description in RNAcentral is "bacterial SSU rRNA". It matches the Rfam family "Bacterial small subunit ribosomal RNA", at positions 12 to 507 of the family's 1533-position model. Lineage: Bacteria; Pseudomonadati; Pseudomonadota; Betaproteobacteria; Neisseriales; Neisseriaceae. The record is from RNAcentral.
UUUGAUCCUGGCUCAGAUUGAACGCUGGCGGCAUGCUUUACACAUGCAAGUCGAACGGCAGCACGAAAGAGCUUGCUCUUUGGUGGCGAGUGGCGAACGGGUGAGUAAUGCAUCGGAACGUACCGAGUAAUGGGGGAUAACUAUCCGAAAGGAUAGCUAAUACCGCAUACGCUUUGAGAAGGAAAGUGGGGGCUCUUCGGACCUCACGUUAUUCGAGCGGCCGAUGUCUGAUUAGCUAGUUGGUGGGGUAAAGGCCUACCAAGGCGACGAUCAGUAGCGGGUCUGAGAGGAUGAUCCGCCACACUGGGACUGAGACACGGCCCAGACUCCUACGGGAGGCAGCAGUGGGGAAUUUUGGACAAUGGGCGCAGGCCUGAUCCAGCCAUGCCGCGUGUCUGAAGAAGGCCUUCGGGUUGUAAAGGACUUUUGUUAGGGAAGAAAAGGAUAGUGUUAAUACCAUUAUCUGCUGACGGUACCUAAAGAAUAAGCACCGGCUAACUACGUG